Molecule: ribosomal RNA, 471 nt
Filed under: uncultured cyanobacterium
Lineage: Bacteria; Bacillati; Cyanobacteriota
Description: bacterial SSU rRNA
Rfam family: Bacterial small subunit ribosomal RNA
Source: RNAcentral
AACGCACGUAGCAAUACGUGAGUGGCGGACGGGUGAGUAACGCGUGAGAAUCUAGCUUCAGGUCGGGGACAACAGAGGGAAACCGCUGCUAAUACCGGAUAUGCCGAAAGGUGAAAGAUUAAUUGCCUGAAGAUGAGCUCGCGUCUGAUUAGCUAGUUGGAGAGGUAAAAGCUCACCAAGGCGACGAUCAGUAGCUGGUCUGAGAGGACGAUCAGCCACACUGGGACUGAGACACGGCCCAGACUCCUACGGGAGGCAGCAGUGGGGAAUCUUCCGCAAUGGGCGAAAGCCUGACGGAGCAAUACCGCGUGAGGGAGGAAGGCUCUUGGGUUGUAAACCUCUUUUCUUAGGGAAGAAGCUCUGACGGUACCCAAGGAAUAAGCAUCGGCUAACUCCGUGCCAGCAGCCCGCGGUAAUACGGAGGAUGCAUGCGUUAUCCGGAAUCAUUGGGCCGUAAAGCGUCCGUAGGUG